Hydractinia symbiolongicarpus is the source of this 1877-nucleotide long non-coding RNA. RefSeq lists it as uncharacterized. The transcript is spliced from 2 exons. The record is from RefSeq and is a predicted model, not a curated record. NCBI's taxonomy places the organism in Eukaryota, Metazoa, Cnidaria, Hydrozoa, Anthoathecata, Hydractiniidae.
UCGAACCCAGGGCCUGUAGCGUUUUUUGAUAUGAGGAUGAAACGCGUACGAGGCCCUGGUACAACAGACUUACUCAACCAAUGAGAAUGCGUAUACGGCUUUUUUAAAUUAUGCUAAAAAGAUAAUAAAUGCAGAAGUAUUUUUUGCAAGCACAGCAUUUUAUAGUAACAACAAAUAUGGCGAUGAGCAUUACGCAGAUUUUUUGGUAACUUGUUUAUGAAGAAAAUAUUUAUUAAUUCACGUUAUUUUUGACUUUCCUUGCAUCGUUACAAAUUUAUCGGUGCUGUUCAAAAUUUUUAAACAUUAUUUUUGUUGUUUCACUGAUGGGAAAAAGGCAGCUGACAAGUCAAAUGGAAUGGUGCGAUGAACAUCUGUCCUGCUAACGAAAGUAGCAGGCAAAGGGAAAGAAAAUAUCACACCACAUAAAGUUUAUAGUGGAUGUGAUAAAGUGUGUAGACUGUGUGCUGAGACUGACUUAAAACGAUUUAGUCAAAUUUUUGGAAAUAUUGGAACAUCAAAACAACUUCAAGAGAAAAUACAAGGCACUGUGGGUAUCACAAUUGUGCAAACUGAUAACAUAAAUGAUAUAAUCUGUCGUAAAUGUCGUAUCCACAAUGUUAUAAAACUCCAUGGCUGCAUCAUGUGUGGCUUGGUCGUGAUCUGCCAGUAUAUUAUCAAGCUCAUCUGAUAGUUUCUUUAAACUCUCAUCUGAUACUUCUCUAUAUUUAAUAAGUUCCUCUUUUUUAGGUUCUUUCAAGAGUGAAGAAUCACAAUUGCUACAGCAUUGAUCCUGGGGUUGAUAAUGAUAUCCAAAGUGAAUCAUCAAUACUUUACGAAGGCAUUGUGUCGUAGUACAAAAAUUCACCAUAUGUUCAUCAACUUUAUUUUGUUUUAAACGCCUACUGCUGAUAUCAUGCCCGGUAUAGUACAAUCUUGCCAAUGCUUCUUGCCCUCUUCGACCAGCCCGUCCAAAUUGCUGCAUAUAGUCUUCGAUGGUACUUGGUGGACUUAUAUGGAAAAUUUGUUCGAUAUAGGGUGCAUGAACACCCAUACCAAGCGCAGAAGUUGCUAUUAUAACGCGAAUGUUUGAAACUUCUUUUGCAACUUCAAGGAGAAUUUCGUUUUUCAUUGACUUUGUUUGUGGUGCGUGAAAUUGCACAAUUAAACAAUUGCUAGGGUUUGUUAUGUUUUCAACAUACAUGUGUUCCUUUAAUACAUUUUUUAUUAACUUAUAUAUAUACCCACAAAACCUCAAUCCACAAUAUAUAAUAGUUUGAGGAAAACUUUUCUUUAGUGAUUUUAGCUCCUUUGCAAGUGGCAAGAUGAUAUUUUCAAUACCUUCUUCACCAACUUUUCUCUUUUCUUUGCACAUGUAUACAUUUUUUCUGUUUGGAUUAACAGAUAUUAUUGUUGGGGUUUUCAUUCCAAGUAUAUGUUUUAUUUUAGCCAGUGUUUUUUCUGUUGCGGUAGCUGUAAGUGCGAUAAAAGGUACCUCUCUAAAAAAAGCUCGCAUUGCUCCCAAGUUUUCAAAUUCUUUGCGAAAUUCUUUUCCCCUUAAAGAUAAAGAAAUAUAUAUAUAUUUUAGGAUUAACAUUUUGUUAGUUAUAUAUAAUAAUUUUGUUAGUUAUAUAUAAUUUUAUAUCUGUUUUAUAUUAUAUAUAUACAUUUUUGUUAUUCAGUUGUUGUACAGAUAUUCUUGUCUUUGUUAUUUUAUUAGCAUUUUGCAAUUAACAUUACAUUAUUGCAUAUUUCCUUAUUAGAGAAAUUAUUCUUGUAUAUAUAUAUAUAUACAUAUAUAUAUAAUAUUUAACUUUUUUAAAGUUGUAGCUAUAUAUAUACCUAUAUAAAUAAAGUAGUACUUACCAGGUGUCCAAGCA